CCUCUUGUAGCUCAGUUGGUAAAGAAUCUGUCUAAAAUGCAGGAGACCCAGGUUCAAUCCCUGGUUUGGGAA
RNAcentral lists this transfer RNA (72 nucleotides) under Capra hircus (goat). It matches the Rfam family "tRNA". Rfam says of the family: Transfer RNA (tRNA) molecules are approximately 80 nucleotides in length. Their secondary structure includes four short double-helical elements and three loops (D, anti-codon, and T loops). Lineage: Eukaryota; Metazoa; Chordata; Mammalia; Artiodactyla; Bovidae. The record is from Rfam by way of RNAcentral. RNAcentral also lists the same sequence under 1 other name.